CCUACGGGAGGCAGCAGUGGGGAAUAUUGCACAAUGGGCGUAACCCUGAUGCAGCGACGCCGCGUGGGUGAAGGAGGAUUUCGGUAUGGAAAGCCCUAUCAGCAGGGAAGAACAGUGACGGUACCUUACUAUGAAGCACCGGCUAAAUACGUGCCAGCAGCCGCGGUAAUACGUAGGUGGCAAGCGUUGUCCGGAGUUACUGGGUGUAAAGGGCGUGUAGCCGGGUUGACAAGUCAGCUGUGAAAGUCUGCGGCUUAACCGCAGAACUGCAUUUGAAACUGUGGAUCUUGAGUACGGGAGAGGCAGGCGGAAUGCGUAGUGUAGCGGUGAAAUGCGUAGAUAUUAGGCGGAACACCAGUGGCGAAGGCGGUCUGCUGGAC
This 380-nucleotide ribosomal RNA is filed under the name uncultured bacterium. RNAcentral's name for it is "partial 16S ribosomal RNA". It matches the Rfam family "Bacterial small subunit ribosomal RNA", at positions 338 to 734 of the family's 1533-position model. The record is from RNAcentral.